Molecule: small RNA, 32 nt
Filed under: Bombyx mori (domestic silkworm)
Lineage: Eukaryota; Metazoa; Arthropoda; Insecta; Lepidoptera; Bombycidae
Description: ovarian small RNA-15096
Source: RNAcentral
GAAAUCUAUUGAUUGGAACUGCGCCCUACAAC